Molecule: long non-coding RNA, 662 nt
Organism: Capra hircus (goat)
Lineage: Eukaryota; Metazoa; Chordata; Mammalia; Artiodactyla; Bovidae
Exons: 4
Source: RefSeq, a predicted model, not a curated record
GGCCGGGCGGCCGCUGCCGCCCGCCCGGACCGCUCGGACCGCCCGGACCGCCGCGGGGCGACGGGCCCGAGACGGCGCCCCGCGCCCCGGAUUCGUCUCGGCUCGGCCGCGCGUAUAUUUCCCUUCCUCCAUGAUCUCCAACACUGAUAAAGUGGAAGAAACUGAGGUACCAAGAAACAGAAAAGUAACUGGGACUGAAAAAAAGAAAGAGAUCUGUGUGGAAGGAUGUCCAUGAUAGAUUUUACAGAGAGAGAAGAAGAGAAAGGAAAUGAAUUUUUAUGCUUCUGUACAACUUGAAAAUUUUUCAACAUACAGCUCUACUACAGAACUGGCAAUGGUCAGUUUAAUUGUAAGUACAUUACUAAACUUACAUGUUUUCUGAUACAGAGUUCCACCUCUUAUCAUCUAGAGAAACAACCCUAGAGAAACAACCAUUAUUACACUUGUGCAUGAGGUGAAAUGUACAAAGAUGUUCAUUACAACACUGUUUGUAAUAGCAAACAAUUAGAAACACUCUAAAUCUCCAACAGUAAUGAAUAACUACACAGCAAUCAAGAAAAAUGAGUUACAUCUACAUAGUAAGAUUCCUUACUGUAUUGUUAAAUGGAAAACAUGCUGUAAAACAAUAUAAACAUUAUGAUAUCAUUUAAUUUAUAUUCAGA